CUAGGGUGCGAGCGUUAAUCGGAAUUACUGGGCGUAAAGCGAGUGUAGGCGGCUAUUUAAGUCGGAUGUGAAAGCCCUGGGCUCAACCUGGGAAUUGCAUUCGAAACUGGGUAGCUAGAGUUUGGUAGAGGUAAGUGGAAUUCCGGGUGUAGCGGUGAAAUGCGUAGAUAUCCGGAGGAACAUCAGUGGCGAAGGCGGCUUCCUGGACCAAUACUGACACUGAGGUGCGAAAGCGUGGGGAGCAAACAGGAUUAGAUACCCGAGUAGUCC
This 270-nucleotide ribosomal RNA is filed under the name uncultured archaeon. RNAcentral's name for it is "partial 16S ribosomal RNA". It matches the Rfam family "Bacterial small subunit ribosomal RNA", at positions 527 to 796 of the family's 1533-position model. The record is from RNAcentral.